Molecule: ribosomal RNA, 497 nt
Filed under: uncultured bacterium
Lineage: Bacteria
Description: partial 16S ribosomal RNA
Rfam family: Bacterial small subunit ribosomal RNA
Source: RNAcentral
GAUGAACGCUGGCGGCGUGCCUAAUACAUGCAAGUCGAGCGAACGGACGAGAAGCUUGCUUCUCUGAUGUUAGCGGCGGACGGGUGAGUAACACGUGGAUAACCUACCUAUCAGACUGGGAUAACUUCGGGACACCGGAGCUAAUACCGGAUAAUAUCUUGAACCGCAUGGUUCAAAAGUGAAAGACGGUCUUGCUGUCACUUAUCGAUGGAUCCGCGCUGCAUUAGCUAGUUGGUAAGGUAACGGCUUACCAAGGCAACGAUGCAUAGCCGACCUGAGAGGGUGAUCGGCCACACGGGAACUGAGACACGGUCCAGACGCCUACGGGAGGCAGCAGUAGGGAAUCUUACGCAAUGGGCGAAAGCCUGACGGAGCAACGCCGCGUGAGUGAUGAAGGUCUUCGGAUCGUAAAACUCUGUUAUUAGGGAAGAACAGAUGUGUAAGUAACUGUGCACAUCUUGACGGUACCUAAUCAGAAAGCCACGGCUAACUACGUG